GCACCCAAGCAGGACCUGCUGAACCUGGGGCCCUACAGGAGAGCACUGAUGGCCCACCCCUGAAAGUGGUCCUGGUCUUCAUGUCUGCAUCAGCCUCAGCCAUCUCAAGACCACAACGGAAACAUAGCCAAGUUAGAGAAGACAGACCAACAGCACCGGAGCCCUUCAUAUUAUUAAGCUGCUAAAUUAACCAAUCUUGGAAACUUCUAGACUCAACAAUUCUUGUGGUAUGAGAGUGGAUUGACAAUUAUUCUCUGGACUUUUUGGUAACCAAGAACUUCUAGCAACUAACCCUGGCAUGACCACCAGAAUCUGCAGGGCUGAGAGAAGGAAAGAAAGGCAAAAGUGGACGAAUGAAGCUGAAGAUGCUAUGGAACUCCUAUCACAUUCCAAGUGCUGUGUUGAUAUCUGGAGAUACAGACAAGAUCAAAGCAGAUGCAGAGUCUUUCACAUGAAUAUGUGAAUCAGUUAAUGGAAUGGCUUCAAUAAUACAGUAAAAUGAAGAUAUUCAAACAAGCAGGAGGCAGGUGAAGACUAUUGGCCUCAGGAUGCAGGUGAAGAGUAUUGGCCUCAGCUUCAGAGACCAGAGGUUAAAUCUCAAUGCUGCCACAAAAGGGUUCAUGGAAGUCAGUAAACAAUGCUUUUUUUAUUAUUGUUAUGAAGAUACAGUGCGUGGAUCCCUCUCAAUUGUCUAUUCUUCUGUGUCACAAAAAUUUGCCUGCUUUUUGUUACCAUGUGAGAAGCAAAUGAAUUGAACUAAAUGGUUUCUAAUGCCUUGUCCACUUCUAAAAUUCUAUGGAACUGUGAUUUCAUUCCAAUGGGCCGUAUCAGGACUUGGCAUUAUUUUCAUCAGUGAACCAUUUCAUUAGAAUUUUUUUUUUUCGAAAUGAUAUUAGUAAAUAUUGAAGGAGGCUUCUCUCACAGAGCUUCUUGUAAAAAUUAAAACAGGGCGGUAGAAGGUU
This is a non-coding RNA of Macaca mulatta (Rhesus monkey), 962 nucleotides long. The record is from RefSeq and is a predicted model, not a curated record. Lineage: Eukaryota; Metazoa; Chordata; Mammalia; Primates; Cercopithecidae.